Molecule: non-coding RNA, 84 nt
Filed under: unclassified sequences
Description: c-di-GMP sequence
Rfam family: c-di-GMP-II-GAG riboswitch aptamer
Source: Rfam by way of RNAcentral
CAGGGAACCGGGGGCUCAACAGCGCGGCGUCCAGUCACGGUCGCCACAACGUCGCGCUGUGCCAAUGGCGAGACCGACCCUCGG